RNAcentral lists this long non-coding RNA (840 nucleotides) under Equus asinus (donkey). RNAcentral describes it as "lncRNA (ENSEASG00005037441.1)". The record is from RNAcentral. Lineage: Eukaryota; Metazoa; Chordata; Mammalia; Perissodactyla; Equidae.
GCUGGGAGACCGCGGCUGGGAGAUUUCCCCCUCCCCCAUCCCCACAAAGCCUGCCGUUGGAAGACGUUGGCCGCUCGCCACCCCGGCUUCCUUCCGUUAGGGUCACUGGACCCCGGGGGUCCCGGGAGCUGCAGGACUCGAGGUUGACCAGGCGCACUCUGGCUGUGGCAGGCCCUCUGGGAGGCUGUGCAGACUUGGAGACCCAAAAUCUAGACUAUAGCCUUGAGCUAUAGCAGAGCCAUAUAUUCUUGUGGUGACAGUGGCCUUAGGAAAAAAAUUCUCUCUCUUGGAUGAUUAGUCAUGAGGCUGCUCUGUCAGCACAGCUCUUGAUGGAAACGGCAGAUAGGUCUGCUGUCUGUGAGCGCCGCAGGGUGGCAGAGACUGGAAGACUUGGCUCCUUGGUUUGGAAGCGGCACUGGCUGAGACUUGGUUCUUUGGAAAUAGACAAGGUCCCAUUCCAGGAGGAUUUUCAAGUAGAAGAUGAAUGGACAUCAACUAGGGACACUGAGAAUAAGGGCUUCAUGAUACAAUGUUUGGCUGUCUCUUGAUGGGGAAGGGCAAGUGUGCUCUUGUGGUCAAGUAGGGGAGAGGUGGGUUCUGUCAUGUGGAAGUUUCUUUGAAAUUGCGAAUUUCCACUCAUGGAACAAUGGUGCCAUUAUAAGCUCAGCACCAAGGAAUGUAAAUGUCGCAUUAAAACCUUCUUGAGGUAUCUGCCGUCUCACAAUAUAUAUGCUUCAAAGUGAUGCUACUGCAUUAUAAUAAAGUAUCCUUUUGAUGACAUAUGAUCUGACAGAGCAUUUAUGUGUACGAAACAUCUUUCAAAGACAACACAAAUUGAAU